RNAcentral lists this long non-coding RNA (209 nucleotides) under Homo sapiens (human). Its description in RNAcentral is "non-protein coding lnc-SWT1-4:1". Lineage: Eukaryota; Metazoa; Chordata; Mammalia; Primates; Hominidae. The record is from RNAcentral.
UAUACCCAUGGGGAGAAUGUUCACUGGGUGUCUGAAGCCUGGCAGCAGGUGGAACUGCAGCCAGAUGGUGGCCCAGCCAGGAGAGUGAGCCAAGGCCUAUGCAGUGCAUGGAGAAGAACCCUAGCCCCUGCUGCACAGAUUUGUGCCCAUUGGCCUGGAUGGAGUGGUGGGUGCAGCAGUUCCUGGCUAGAAUCAUCAAAUGGUCAUAG